This 415-nucleotide ribosomal RNA is filed under the name uncultured eukaryote. RNAcentral describes it as "bacterial SSU rRNA". It matches the Rfam family "Eukaryotic small subunit ribosomal RNA", at positions 592 to 1018 of the family's 1831-position model. The record is from RNAcentral.
CAAUAGCGUAUAUUAAAGUUGUUGCAGUUAAAAAGACUCGUAGUUGGAUUUCUGGGAGAGUGCCAAUGUCCGCCGAAGUGCGUGCGCAGCGGCGCUCUUUCAUCCUUCUGUUAACGGCUCUCGGCAUUCAUUUGCUGGUGUCGGGCUCAGAUAUUUUACCUUGAGAAAAUUAGAGUGUUUCAGGCAGGCUAGGCCGGAAUACAUUAGCAUGGAAUAAUGGAAUAGGACUACGGUCUCUUUGUUGGUUUGAGGGACUGCAGUAAUGAUUAAUAGGGACAGUUGGGGGCAUUCAUAUUCCAUUGUCAGAGGUGAAAUUCUUGGAUUAACGGAAGAUGAACUUCUGCGAAAGCAUCUGCCAAGGAUGUUUUCAUUGAUCAAGAACGAAAGUUAGGGAUCGAAGACGAUUAGAUACCAU